RNAcentral lists this ribosomal RNA (1611 nucleotides) under human gut metagenome. Its description in RNAcentral is "bacterial LSU rRNA". It matches the Rfam family "Bacterial large subunit ribosomal RNA", at positions 1234 to 2925 of the family's 2925-position model. The record is from RNAcentral.
GAGCGUUGUAUACGCGGAGAAACAGUAGCGCAAGCGGCUGUGGAGUGUAUAGAAGUGAGAAUGCCGGAAUGAGUAGCGCGAAUGCAGUGAGAAUCUGCAUGGCCGAAAGCCUCAGGUUUCUGGAGGAAGGUUCGUCCGCUCCAGGUUAGUCGGGAGCUAAGGUGAGGCCGGAAGGCGUAGCCGAUGCACAGACGGUAGAGAUUCCGUCACCACCAAAAGAGUUAAGCACAGGGACACAUAUGAAGUCUCAGAGCCGGGUGUUGGUUCCGGUAGAGAUCGAGGGAAAUUAGUACCGAAGUCUGAGAUGGAAGAUGGCGAGAAAAGCUGUGUGUAUUUCUGAGGUGCCCGUACCGCAAACCGACACAGGUAGGUAGGAAGAAGAUUCUAAGGCCAACGGGAGAAGGGUUGUUAAGGAACUCGGCAAAUUGACCCCGUAACUUCGGGAGAAGGGGUGCUCCAGAGAUGGAGCCGCAGAGAAUCGGCCCAAGCAACUGUUUACCAAAAACACAGGUUUGUGCUAAAUCGAAAGAUGACGUAUACGAGCUGACGCCUGCCCGGUGCUGGAAGGUUAAGAGGAGAUGUGCAAGCAUUGAAUCGAAGCCCCAGUGAACGGCGGCCGUAACUAUAACGGUCCUAAGGUAGCGAAAUUCCUUGUCAGGUAAGUUCUGACCCGCAUGAAAGGCGUAAUGAUUUGGGCACUGUCUCAACAGCCCGCCCGGCGAAAUUGUAGUACCGGUGAAGAUGCCGGUUACCCGCGACAAGACGGAAAGACCCCAUGGAGCUUUACUGUAGCCUAAUAUUGGGUUUCGAUGUUGCAUGCACAGGAUAGAUGGGACUCUGGGAAACCAAGGCUUUGGCUUUGGCGGAGAGGCCGUUGGGAUACCAUCCUUGCGAUAUUGGAAUUCUAACCUGCGGCUCUGAAUCGAGUCGGGGGACAUUGUUAGGUGGGCAGUUUGACUGGGGCGGUCGCCUCCUAAAGAGUAACGGAGGCGUUCAAAGGUUCGCUCAGCUUGAACGGAAAUCAAGCAAAAGAGUGCAAACGCAGAAGCGAGCCUAACUGCGAGACUGACGGGUCGAGCAGUAACGAAAGUUGGAGUUAGUGAUCCGGUGGUAUGUGAGUGGAAAUGCCAUCGCUCAACGGAUAAAAGUUACCCUGGGGAUAACAGGCUGAUCUCCCCCAAGAGUCCACAUCGACGGGGAGGUUUGGCACCUCGAUGUCGGCUCAUCGCAUCCUGGGGCUGUAUUCGGUCCCAAGGGUUUGGCUGUUCGCCAAUUAAAGCGGUACGCGAGCUGGGUUCAGAACGUCGUGAGACAGUUCGGUCCCUAUCUGUCGUGGGCGCAGGAUAUUUGAUGGGAGCUGUCCCUAGUACGAGAGGACCGGGACGGACGUACCUCUGGCGCACCAGUUGUUCCGCCAGGAGCAUAGCUGGGCAACUACGUACGGAUCGGAUAAACGCUGAAAGCAUCUAAGCGUGAAGCCGACCCAAAGAUAAGAUAUCCCACUGAUUUGAUCAGGUAAGAUCCCUUGCAGACUACGAGGUUGAUAGGCACGAUGUGUAAGUGGAGCGAUCCAUUCAGCAAGUGUGUACUAAUAGAUCGAGGGCUUGACCA